GGUCAGCACUGGUUUGUUAUUGUUGGCUUCUGUGGUAAUCCUGGUGAAUAUACAUCAGUCGCGAGGAGGUUCUUUAAGUCCAUAUGGGCGAAAUGUUCGGACAUUAUAUACAGCAUAUUAUGUGCCUGAAGGAAGAUCUUAUAAAAUAUAUUAUUAUGUCAGAACGUGCACUACGACAUGCACUUUUUUUUGUUGGGGGAGAAGACGGGUAUGUAGUAAUCGGCAGAAAAGCAAAUGGAAAACUGUUUACACAUAUGUGAGAAGAACCAGGAAAAUUUACAGAUGCAGCUACGGCUGGAAGCAAAGUGGAUCUAGUUGCA
Long non-coding RNA from Dendronephthya gigantea, 320 nucleotides. RefSeq lists it as uncharacterized. The record is from RefSeq and is a predicted model, not a curated record. Lineage: Eukaryota; Metazoa; Cnidaria; Anthozoa; Malacalcyonacea; Nephtheidae. The transcript is spliced from 3 exons.